This is a long non-coding RNA of Asparagus officinalis (garden asparagus), 229 nucleotides long. RefSeq lists it as uncharacterized. The record is from RefSeq and is a predicted model, not a curated record. NCBI's taxonomy places the organism in Eukaryota, Viridiplantae, Streptophyta, Magnoliopsida, Asparagales, Asparagaceae. The transcript has 2 exons.
UUACAAAUAUUGGCCUUGGAAUGCAAUUGUAAUCUAUUUCCCCUCUCCUUUUGUAGGCAAAAAUGUUUCUUCUAUAACUUCUUAUGAAGAUUGCAGAUUUCUGGAAAGAAGCUUUGACAUUAAGUUCAUUACAUCAUCCAAAUGUUGUAUCUUUUUAUGGUGUAGUCUGUGAUGGUCCUGAUGGGAUUUUAGCAACUGUCACAGAUCAAUGGUUUUCUGAAGCAAUUUU